GGGGGGCAGUUUUCUUAUAUUUAUACAUAGUAAAAAAAGCUUGUGAACACUCUAGAUGUCACAUUUUUUGCCCAAUCAUCAUGAAACUUGGUGAAAAGAUUGGUUUUUUAUAUAUCACAUAAUUAAUGCCAUAAUUAUUGCCCUUAGAUUGUCCAAAUUUUUAUUAUAUUAUACAAAAUCCUUGUAAACACUCUAGAGGUCACAAUUUUGUUUCAGAUUUUAUGAAUCUUGGUCAUAAUAUUUAUUAUUGUACGCAAAGUUUGAUGUUUGGUAAGGGGGGGUCAACUCAAAAUAUAGGUCACCAGGUCAAAACACUCCAUAUGCCAGAGUUUUGGUUCAAUAAUGAUGAAACUUGACCAGGAUGUUUGUCUGGACAAUAUCUAGUUUGACGUUUGAUAAAGAUUGAAUGAAACGACUCCUUUCAGGUGAGCGAACUAGGGCCAUCUUGGCCCUCUUGUUGAUAGUAGCUGUCUGGCAUUAACAUUCAGUCAUUUGUGUUCUAAAACCAAUUACUUUUCUGUGUGUUCAUCAGUGUGUUGUGCAUUAGUCAAUAUAGAUUUAUUUUCCAAGCUUCAAUUUAUUUCAAGUUUAUUUAGAAAUGAUUCUUUCAUAAAAAUUCAGGCUUAAUGUUUAAGCCCCUGCCAAUAAAGAAUGCAUUGUAAGCUUUUGUGUGCAUCAUUUGUAGGUUUGUUCUUUGCCCAUUGUUGUGGACUGUGUUGUCAACAUUUAGCUUGUGAACACUCUAAAGGCAACAUUUAUUGUCCAAACAGCAUGCAACUUAAUCAGAACAUUUGUCCGUUGAAAUAUAUGUAUGGGAAAUUCAGUUGAGCGCUGUAGGGCCUUUUUCCUAUUUGUAUAUUACCCUAGUAUCUUGGUGCACGAGGCAUAUACUUAUUGUCCGUCCCUCUGUCUUUCCACCCAUGGCAGGUGCAGAAGACUUAAGUUAAGUGUAGAACCAGUUAUUGUUACAACUAUAUGAUACUUUUCCUCUUGUUUUUUCCAUGCCAUUUCCUGUCUACCCAUUUUUCCCAACUCUUACCCAGAUUUUUACCAUAUUUAAGAUCUAGGUUAUCCAGCACCAAUAUAUAAAUUGAUCCUUUUUUGUUCAUCAAACACAUCCAUCUCUAAUUUAAGUUAUAAUAAAAUCAGCAGUUCUCAUAAAAAGAGGCAUUAAGUUGAAUGUAUAUAUUUUUUAUGUCCAGUUAAAAUCUGCCAGUGUAUGAUUUUGCAUACCUGAUCUUAUUACCGAUUUGUAAUGCUUAUCAAAUGUUUUAGUAUUGGCUUGUACUGGUAUUUCACAUGUUUUUACAAUUUUGUGGGUUUUACAUUGCUUUGGAAAAUCGUUUUUGCUAUGUUGCACAUUUGUGUAUUGUAUGGAAAACUUAGUAUAAGUAAUUUGAUAACGCUGUUUCAUGUAAAGGCAGAACUGUUUAAGGUGUGUUGAUCAUGUUUAUAUAAUGUCUGUCUUUUUACUUAUUAUUGAAAUCCAAAACAGUUAGCCAUAUAAAUCUCUUUCUAAUUUGUCCAUUAUUGUAUUGCUAUGUUCUGAUCGUUGACUGUUAUAACAAUCCCCUUUCAUUAUAAGAUUCCAUCCUUUAUAAAAAUAACCUUUGAUUAUUAGUAACCCCACCAUUUGAAAAAUCCCCUUCCAUUCUAAGAAUCACCUUUCAUUUUAAGAAUCCCCUUUAUAUUAUAAAAAUCCCUUUUCAUUUUAAGAAUUCCCUUCCAUUCUUAGAAUCUCCUUCCUUUCUAAGAAUCCAUUUCGAUUAUAAGCAUCACCUCUCAUUUUGAUGCCUACAGUAGGGUGGCAUAUAGCAUUUUAACUGUCUGUCUGUCCGUCAGUCUGUCCGAAAACUUUUAAAUAGGCCAUAACUUUUGCAAUAUUGAAGAUAGCAACUUGAUAAUUGGCAUGCAUGUUUAUCUCACGGAGCUGCACCUUUUGAGUGAUGAAAGGUCAUGUUCAUCCUUCAAGGUCAAAAGUAAAAAAAUACAAUCCAAGGGAAGUAAUAAGCUUUAAAAGGGAGAUAAUUUCUAAAUCUGACAAAUGAUAUAUUGAAAUUUUAUUUAAAAGUGGCGCAAUAGGGGGCAUUGUGUUUCUGACAAACACAUCUCUUGUUGUGCAUCUAUAUUCACAUGUGUGAUCACUGACUUACAUUGCUUGUAUGAACACUUUCUCACAUUAAGUGUUUUUUUUCAUGGUUUUCUGUUGUGGAUUUUUCUUUUAAUUUUUAAAAGCUAAAUUGUAGAUGUCAUUAAAGUAUAAUGGAGAGCAACCCUCUGUUGAGCAAUGGUUGGAGCCUGUCAGUGGUAUCCUUCAUAGUUAUUGGCCAGAUUUUCCACACAUCUGAAGGUCUAUGUAAGGUUUUACCCAGCGGAAGGUUUGUUGAUGUUGAAUUACAUUUUUGGUGUAUGUACUACAUGUACUAACAUUUUUAUGUCCCACACUCACUAUAGUGGGGGACAUAUUGUUUUUGCCCUGUCUGUUGGUCUGUAUGUUGGUCUGUUUGCUCCAACUUUAAUAUUUGCAAUAACUUUUUCAAUAUUCAAGGUAGCAACUUGAUAUUUGGCAUGCAUGUGUAUCUCAUGGAGCUGCACAUUUUGAGUGGUGAAAGGUCAAGGUCAUCCUUCAAGGUCAGAGGUCAAAUAUAUGUGGCCAAAAUCGCUCAUUUUAUGAAUACUUUUGCAAUAUUGAAGAUAGCAACUUGAUAUUUGGCAUGCAUGUGUAUCUCAUGGAGCCGCACAUUUUGAGUGGUGAAAGGUCAAGGUAAUCCUUCAAGGUCAGAGGGCAAAUAUAUGUGGCCAAAAUCGCUCAUUUUAUGAAUACUUUGGCAAUAUUGAAGAUAGCAACUUGAUAUGUGGCAUGCAUGUGUAUCUCAUGGGGCCGCACAUUUUGAGUGGUGAAAGGUAAAGGUCAUCCUUCAAGGUCAGAGGUCAAGUAUAUGUGGCCAAAAUCGCUCAUUUUAUGAAUACUUUGGCAAUAUUGAAGAUACCAACUUGAUAUUUGGCAUGCAUGUGUAGCUCAUGGAGCCGUACAUUUUGAGUGGUGAAAGGUAAAAGUCAUCCUUCAAUGUCAAAGGUCAAACAAAAAACCAAAAAAUUCAAAGCGGCGCAAAAGGGGACAUAGUGUUUCUGACAAACACAUUUUUCAAUAUUGAAGAUAGCAACUUGAUAUUUGGCAUGCAUGUGUAUCUCAUGAAGCUGCACAUUUUGAGUGGUGGAAAUUCAAAGUCAAGGUUAGCCUUCAAGGUAAAAAAAUAAUAAAAAAUUUUGUUUCAAAGCGGCGUUCUCAUGAAGCUGCACAUUUUGAGUGGUGGAAGUUCAAGGUCAAGGUCAUCCUUCAAGGUCAAGGUCAUCCUUUAAUGUCAAAGGUAAAAUAAAAAUAAAAAUUCAAAGCGGCGUUCUCAUGAAGCUGCAUAUUUUGAGUGGUGGAAGUUCAAGGUCAAGGUCAUCCUUCAAGGUCAAGAUCAUCCUUCAAGGUCAAAGGUAAUUUUUUAUUUAUUUUUUCAAAGCGGCGUUCUCAUGAAGCUGCACAUUUUGAGUGGUGGAAGUUCAAGGUCAAGGUCAUCCUUCAAGGUCAAGGUCAUCCUUCAAGGUCAAAGGUAAAAAAAAACUUUUUUCUUCAAAGGGGCGUUCUCAUGAAGCUGCACAUUUUGAGUGGUGGAAGUUCAAGGUCAAGGUCAUCCUUCAAGGUCAAAGGUAAAAAUAAAUAAAUUUCAAAGCGGCGCAGAAUGGGACAUAGUGUUUCCGACAAACACAUUUCUUGUUAUUUACUAAAUUUUUGAAGUGGUGCUAUAUAUUAAAUAUUAAUAUGAGUUUUUGAGAGAACAAAACUGAAGUCGUUUCUGGUCAAUAGAUUUUGUUUUACAACUAUAGAUUUUGAAUCUGAACUACGGUAGCGCACUAACAUGUUUUCAUGUCUUUAAGUGUACUAUAUAACUAUAUUUAUAAUUUUUGAUCUAAAGAGUACUUAUUAUUGCAUGGAAGAAUAUAGUUAAGAAGUUCUAUAACACACAAAAUCUAAGUAAUGAUUUUUUUUAAUGGUAUUAAUGACAAUCUUUCAACAAUAUAGAUGACCCCAUUUUUAUUGUUCUUUUUUAUAAAUUGGGUGUUGAAUUGAACCCAUAAAAAAGACAUGAAUGUUAAAAAAUUUGGGCUGAUAAUGUGCUGACUGGUUGAUAAGUUGAUAUAUAUGUGUGUAUUCACUAUUUUGAAUUAAAAAUAAAUUGAGGUUUGUAUGAAAAACACAAAUACCUCAUAUAGUGUCCUACAGCUACUAUCAUGAAAACAUGCAUGUUACUUAGUUAAAUCGUUUUGUAUUUGAACAUUAUUAUAUGUCUGAAUAAGCACUUUUAUUUUUAUAUGCAUGAUGUUUUGCGUACAUAGUAAAUAUGCAUCAUUUAAUGUCUUUUUGUCUUCUAUUCUGUAACCUGCUUUUCUUAUUUAAACUUAUUUUUUAUAGUGUCAAUGUUUUAAGUGUAUUAUUUUACUAUAAAUGCACAUUGGUUUUAUAUGGGUAAAUAAUUGUAUACAUGUAAAUAUCAAAGUAUUAACUAGGGGAUAUGGAAGUUUCAACAGCGAAACAUAUUUAACAUAUUAAGAAAUACGAUAAAUGACAUUAAAAAUAAUAUACAUAAAAAAUGCUCUAACACACCUGACAAAAAUUGUUUUAUUUUCUAAAUAAAAUUGCUUUUAAUAGAAAUUGAUGUAUAUUUGGUAUGAAUUUGAGUUUCAAUUUGAAUUUAAGCUUUACUUUAUCUAAUGUAACAUGCAAACUAUUCGGUGAAAAGUAAAAAAAACACCUUGGUCUAAAAUAUGAAAGUCAACGGUCAAAGCAUGUUUUUGUUGAUGAUGUGUUAAAGGUGUAUGUAUUAAUGUAUUAAAUCAAAACGUUUCAUCAUGUAAAUAUAUCCUGGUAACUACAUGUAUAGUUCAAUGUCACUUUGUAUUAUACAAAAACAUGCGUGAUAACUGUACAUAGCUGGUUGUUGUCAUUGUGUUUACAUACAUAUUUUCCUGGUGAGAAGCUACUUUUGUUGGACAUUAUAUUCCAUGUUAAUAAAUGUAUAACUUACUUUAUUUUUGAACUAUGUUGUGGGGAUAAAACUAAUUACUUUGUAAAUAUUUAAAGAGGCAAUGAUGCAUGGCUAUUAGAUCUCUUGGGCUUACAAAUAAAUUGUUUAAUUCAUAGUCAUCUGAAAACCAAAUUGUUGUUUAGUAACUAAAAAACAUUUGACAGAUAAACAAUCAUAAUACAUUGAAAUUUAUUGCAUAAUUUUAUUAUCAGCAUGUAAAACUUACAUCUUUAUAUAUAACUUUGGUAAGUGUUAUCCAAGUUGUGCUGAAACUCAAUGAUGUGUUAUAUGGCUCACAAGAGCACAAAUUGGUAUUAAGGACCAGUGCUUAGCCAAAUAUGUAAGCUCUGUUGGCUUUAUCUCAUGAUAUAAAUUUGAAUUGUUUUUUUUUGUGUUUAUUUUGGUGAGGAUAGGUACAUGUAAAUAAAUUGCUGAAACCACAAUAAUGCCUUCAAUGUUAUUACCAAAACUUGUGUGAGAACAAUUGUCCCAAUAAUAUAUACAAUAAGUUCAAAACUUCGUCAUGUGGGGUCAGAAACUAGUUCACUAUGUCAAAUUAAAGAAAAUGUGUAUGAACACUCAGUAAUUUCUUUGCGCAAUCCUCAUGGGACUUAAUAUCAAUAUUUUUUCUAAUUAUUUUGCAGAUACCCCAAGUAAGUGAGAAACAAUAUCAAGGGGUAUUACAUUAAAGAUGGACCAUGCUUUAUUCCUGUUAAAACAUGCUUGAUGACGGUUCUAAUAAACUAGCACUUGAUAUCUAUUACAACAUGCAUGUUGACUGUCCCAACCUGCUUCUUGAUAUCUAAAAUCUUUCCAUGACUGAUAAACCUUACUUGUUUAUCUAUUUUUUAUUGCAAAUUUCAUAUGAUCAAUUGUAUUGAGUUCAGGCAGAUUUCUGUAUGUGGCUGUAGUUAAAGCAAUUGCGCACUCUAGGUCACAUUGCCCUCACAUGAAGAAACUUUCUCAAAACAUAAAAAUUGGCAUACAUCAAGGCUGAGUUCAAUAAUAAAUGUGGUUUGUUGACAAACCUGGCUACUGGGUAUUUGGGCAGUUUUUCUUAUUACUCUGAAACUGUUAACACUACCUGCUCAGAUGGUUUGGGUGUCAGGUGGGCGGGGAAGGGCCAUUUGCCCUCUUGUUAAUCAAGUAGUAAUUUCUGAUAGCUUUAUGUCUCUAUGUAGUUUUUGCUCAUAUUUUCAUAUGCAUCAAGUCACAUGACUGUUGAUCAAUAUACUGGAAAGAUGUUUGCAAAUGUGGGAUACACAAAUAAAAUGGCAAAUUUGUA
Dreissena polymorpha is the source of this 6357-nucleotide long non-coding RNA. RefSeq lists it as uncharacterized. The record is from RefSeq and is a predicted model, not a curated record. The transcript has 2 exons. Lineage: Eukaryota; Metazoa; Mollusca; Bivalvia; Myida; Dreissenidae.